Molecule: non-coding RNA, 2814 nt
Organism: Ictidomys tridecemlineatus (thirteen-lined ground squirrel)
Lineage: Eukaryota; Metazoa; Chordata; Mammalia; Rodentia; Sciuridae
Source: RefSeq, a predicted model, not a curated record
CAGGGGGAAGCUGCUCUUCUCAUGGUGGGCCCUGCAAGUGUAAGCAUGAAAAGAACUUCAUUUGGAAAGUGUGCCUUUAAUGAUCAAAGGAGGAAAACACUGAAUCCACUUGGAGAUGAGAGAAACUCACUCUGAAAAAUAACAGGCACCUUUGAAACGGCCCUGAAACGUGUGCGUGUGUCUCUCCGACGGCCAAGAACGCCCAGAGGACAGCCGGCUGCUUCCCCGGGCCAGUGAAGGGGCUCUGGGAACAGCUCUGUCGGUAGGAGUGAGGAGAGCAGCUUCAGGAGGCCAACCCCGUGUGCCUGCAGAGGGUCGAGGAAGGAGCGAAACCCCUCUGGGAACUCGCCUGGCAGGUGCCGUCAGUCCCGGCUGCUGGGGACAGUCUGCAGUAGCUUCUGUCCCACCUGCCGGGUGACCACAGGGAAACCAGAAAUCCAGUUUGGACCAGACUCUGAGAGUGCUUUCCUGGGUCUUCAGGACACCUCCAGUCCAGGAUGGAGGCCCGCUGGAAGGGCGGUGAGGGAAAGUGAGGACUGAGUAGGAGGUGCAGAGGGACCGGCAGGUGCCAAGCCCAGGAAGGGUGAGCAGCUCUGAGGGCCCUGAGGGUCUGGAGGGAGGACAGGCGGCAGGCAAGCUGGAGAUGGGAGCCGGGCCCUGGCGUAGGACAGGUAGGACAGGGGACCCGUGCAGGACACCCGAGGCUCCCUCCCCCCAAGGUGGCCUUUCCCUGCGAGUCACGGCUCCUGACACCAGGCUCCAGCCUGUUUCCUUUGGGGCCAUCUCCACUCCCUUCCCCUCCCCACAGAGUCCCAAGUCUUCCCUCUCCUUCCUGGCCACAGCCACCCCUGUCCUCGGUCCGUGCCUCGGGAUGCGCCAGGUAGCAGACACUCUGGGGGCUCUGGCCCAGCUGUGAUGCUGGAGUCCACCCUGAACUGCCCACUCCUGUACCCAUGUCUGAUCUGUGACUUCGCCCCUGGUCAAAGGUGCCCAUGGACCCAAACCGUGCCCCUGGGUUUCUUUCUUGGGUAUUUGGAAUGGGCCUUGUGAACUGCCAUUGGGUAAGGCUGCUGUCUGGGACAAGGUGCUGAGGAAAGCCACUUUCGGCCAGGUGAUCCAGGAAGCCGGGAGCAGUGCUGCCACCAGGCAGGAGAGAGAGAGAUGGGGGGGCCCUCCUGGAAGUGUGGGCCCUGCCAGCCCUGCUGCUCACCCUCCUGCAGGGCCAGCACACCCCUGCCCGAGGCACCGCACGGCCCACCCACUCCCCGAGAGCAAUGCCUUUCUGACCCAUCCUUCUUCCCCCUCUUUCCUUACCUUCCUGCCCAUUGCCCACCAUCAACUGGGCACACUCUGGUUAGGAUGUGUACCUGAAACCAGGUGCCUGGACAGAGGCAGGGAGGGGUCCUCCGGGGGCACAGGGGAAUAAGCUGGUCGUGAGGAUCUCGAGGCACAUGCUGCUGUAUUUACCAGAUUCAGGUCAAGGCAGGGUCCCGGGCUCCAGGGCCCAGACAGAACCCUGGGACAGAAGGUCCUCCAUGCAUGGUGCCUCACUCGGGGCCUGAAGUUGUAGGGUUUGUUCCCCAGCAGCCUGCAGCCUGGGGAGGUAUUUUUUCAGCCUAAGAAUAUGCUCCUCAGUGUUAGUGAUCCCUUAAGGCAGCCACCAUGCCACCUGGGGGGCUAUGAUUAGAAUCCUCACUCUUCUUCUCAUUACUGUGAUUAACAGUGACGGUGAACACAACUUCUGCUGAGAGCCCGCCUCGCAGGGCCUGGCUGGGGGAGCCCCAGAGACCCCUUUCAGGACCACAGGAGCUCAGCCCCCCAUCCCCACAGUCAGGGGUCUCCAGGGGCACAGGAUGCUUCCUUCAUCCAGGCCCCAUGGAGCUGAAGAGGGGCUGGCCCCAGGGUCUAGAGGGGUCAGCUGCAGCACUGGGGCAGAGCCAGGCCUGAGUCCCUGCUGGGCUCCCAGGGCUUUGUCGUGCUGCCUGUCCUUACAGGGCUGAUUGUGCUGAACCAGAGACCAGUGGAAGAGGGACAGACUGUGGCACAUGUGAGAGCUCUUGUUGCCAAAUGUGCAUCCUCACCAGCCUCUCCUGCCUGGGCCCAGUCGGGGUCUCGCUGAGGGUGGCCAUGUUGGCCAGGAGUGCUGGUGCAGCUUGUGGGCAGGGGACAGCUGUGACCACAAAGAGGCUGCGAGGUCAGAGCGUGACUGGAAACAUUUGGAGGAGGGAGGCUCCUUCCAAGGGGACCACUGGCUGUUCCUCACAGCCACAGGAUCCCGCAGGGAGGGUCUGGAGCUGGCCAUUCUAGUCUCUUUCCCCAGCAGGCACCCACCCCUGAGCUCCCUGACCCCUGGGCACAUCCUUGACACAAGAGAGCUGUGGGUGUUUGUUUUUGUCAAACACCGGCAGGCCUUGGGUAACAGUGGGUGCUCACUGACUCAGCUUUGGAUGGGCAGACCCAUCAAACUAGAGCAAAGCAAAGAGAAUUUGGGGGUGAGCCCCUCCGGCUGGCCUCGCCCUCUGUCGUUUAGAUCCUGCUUCCGCUCACACGGAUCUUUUUUCAGCCAGCAACAUGGUGCCCCUCCCUCCCAGUGACCAUCAGGCCUUAGGGCCCCCGCGGUGAGGCCCUAUCCUCGGCGGAGGGGGAAUCCUGCUGCCCUGGUGCUGGGCCAGCGCUCUCUCAGCUCCUGUCCACGCCAGGGCUCGCCCUAGGACUCGGGUCCCUGCCAGCCUGCUGCUCCUUGGGAACGCAGGGGGCGCUUGGCAGGAACGCUUCUCCUGCUCCCCAAGGCCCUGGGGCAGACGACCCGCACUG